Molecule: small nuclear RNA, 119 nt
Filed under: Crocodylus porosus (Australian saltwater crocodile)
Lineage: Eukaryota; Metazoa; Chordata; Crocodylia; Crocodylidae
Description: U2 spliceosomal RNA (ENSCPRG00005013881.1)
Rfam family: U2 spliceosomal RNA
About the family: U2 is a small nuclear RNA (snRNA) component of the spliceosome (involved in pre-mRNA splicing). Complementary binding between U2 snRNA (in an area lying towards the 5' end but 3' to hairpin I) and the branchpoint sequence (BPS) of the intron results the bulging out of an unpaired adenosine, on the BPS, which initiates a nucleophilic attack at the intronic 5' splice site, thus starting the first of two transesterification reactions that mediate splicing.
Source: RNAcentral
UGUCCUCCAUAGGAGGUCUAUAUUGAGCAGAUUCUUUUUGGUUUUGGGUGGUGGAACCAGAGCAUGCUCCAUCCACUCCAUGCAUUGACCUGGUAUUACAGUGCUUCCAGGACCAGUGC